GAUGAACGCUGGCGGCGUGCCUAAUACAUGCAAGUCGAGCGAACAGACGAGGAGCUUGCUCCUCUGACGUUAGCGGCGGGCGGGUGAGUAACACGUGGAUAACCUACCUAUAAGACUGGGAUAACUUCGGGAAACCGGAGCUAAUACCGGAUAAUAUAUUGAACCGCAUGGUUCAGUAGUGAAAGACGGUUUUGCUGUCACUUAUAGAUGGAUCCGCGCCGCAUUAGCUAGUUGGUAAGGUAACGGCUUACCAAGGCAACGAUGCGUAGCCGACCUGAGAGGGUGAUCGGCCACACUGGAACUGAGACACGGUCCAGACUCCUACGGGAGGCAGCAGUAGGGAAUCUUCCGCAAUGGGCGAAAGCCUGACGGAGCAACGCCGCGUGAGUGAUGAAGGUCUUCGGAUCGUAAAACUCUGUUAUUAGGGAAGAACAAAUGUGUAAGUAACUAUGCACGUCUUGACGGUACCUAAUCAGAAAGCCACGGCUAACUACGUG
RNAcentral lists this ribosomal RNA (497 nucleotides) under uncultured bacterium. RNAcentral's name for it is "partial 16S ribosomal RNA". It matches the Rfam family "Bacterial small subunit ribosomal RNA", at positions 28 to 507 of the family's 1533-position model. The record is from RNAcentral.